This 253-nucleotide ribosomal RNA is filed under the name uncultured Bacteroidales bacterium. RNAcentral describes it as "partial 16S ribosomal RNA". It matches the Rfam family "Bacterial small subunit ribosomal RNA", at positions 524 to 776 of the family's 1533-position model. Lineage: Bacteria; Pseudomonadati; Bacteroidota; Bacteroidia; Bacteroidales. The record is from RNAcentral.
UAAGGAGGAUGCGAGCGUUAUCCGGAUUUAUUGGGUUUAAAGGGUGCGUAGGCGGCGAGUUAAGUCAGCGGUAAAAGCCCGGGGCCCAACCCCGGGACUGCACUGGAAACUGCCGGGCUGGAGUUGGAGAGAAGUACGCGGAAUGCGCGGUGUAGCGGUGAAAUGCUUAGAUAUCGCGCAGAACCCCGAUUGCGAAGGCAGCGUACCGGCUCCACACUGACGCUGAGGCACGAAAGCGUGGGUAUCGAACAGG